GAUGAACGCUGGCGGCGUGCCUAAUACAUGCAAGUCGAGCGAACAGACGAGGAGCUUGCCCCUCUGACGUUUGCGGCGGCCGGGUGAGUAACACGUGGAUAACCUACCUAUAACACUGGGCUCACCUCGGGAACCCGGAGCCCAUCCCGGAUACUAUAUUUAACCGCAUGGUUCAAUAGUGAAAGACGGUUUUGCUGUCACUUAUAGAUGCAGCCGCACCGCAUUAGCUAGUUGCUAAGGUAACGGCUUACCAAGGCGACGAUGCGUAGCCGACCUGAGCGGGUGAUCGGCCACACUGGAACUGAGACACGGUCCAGACUCCUACGGGAGGCAGCAGUAGGGAAUCUUCUGCAAUGGGCGAAAGCCUGACGGAGCAACGCCGCGUGAGUGAUGAAGGUCUUCGGAUCGGAAAACUCUGUUACUAGGGAAGAACAAAUGUGUAAGUAACUAUGCACGUGUUGACGGUACCUAAUCAGAAAGCCACCGCUAAGCACGUG
RNAcentral lists this ribosomal RNA (497 nucleotides) under uncultured bacterium. Its description in RNAcentral is "partial 16S ribosomal RNA". It matches the Rfam family "Bacterial small subunit ribosomal RNA", at positions 28 to 507 of the family's 1533-position model. The record is from RNAcentral.